Molecule: ribosomal RNA, 301 nt
Filed under: uncultured bacterium
Lineage: Bacteria
Description: partial 16S ribosomal RNA
Rfam family: Bacterial small subunit ribosomal RNA
Source: RNAcentral
CAGUAGCCGCGGUAAUACGGAGGGAGCUAGCGUUGUUCGGAAUUACUGGGCGUAAAGCGCGCGUAGGCGGUUACUCAAGUCAGAGGUGAAAGCCCGGGGCUCAACCCCGGAACUGCCUUUGAAACUAGGUGACUAGAAUCUUGGAGAGGUCAGUGGAAUUCCGAGUGUAGAGGUGAAAUUCGUAGAUAUUCGGAAGAACACCAGUGGCGAAGGCGACUGACUGGACAAGUAUUGACGCUGAGGUGCGAAAGCGUGGGGAGCAAACAGGAUUAGAUACCCCGGUAGUCCCUGUCUCUUAUAU